UACGUAGGUGGCAAGCGUUGUCCGGAAUCAUUGGGCGUAAAGGGCUCGUAGGCGGUCUGUUGCGUCAGGAGUGAAAACUCGGGGCUUAACCCCGAGCCUGCUUCUGAUACGGGCAGACUAGAGGUAUGCAGGGGAGAACGGAAUUCCUGGUGUAGCGGUGAAAUGCGCAGAUAUCAGGAGGAACACCGGUGGCGAAGGCGGUUCUCUGGGCAUUACCUGACGCUGAGGAGCGAAAGUGUGGGGAGCGAACAGG
RNAcentral lists this ribosomal RNA (253 nucleotides) under uncultured bacterium. RNAcentral's name for it is "partial 16S ribosomal RNA". It matches the Rfam family "Bacterial small subunit ribosomal RNA", at positions 524 to 776 of the family's 1533-position model. The record is from RNAcentral.